GACGAACGCUGGCGGCAGGCUUAACACAUGCAAGUCGAACGGUAACGCGGGGCAACCUGGCGACGAGUGGCGAACGGGUGAGUAAUGCAUCGGAACGUGCCCAGUAGUGGGGGAUAGCCCGGCGAAAGCCGGAUUAAUACCGCAUACGACCUUCGGGUGAAAGGGGGGGAUCGCAAGACCUCUCGCUAUUGGACCGGCCGAUGUCAGAGUAGGUAGUUGGUGGGGUAAAAGCCUACCAAGCCGACGAUCUGUAGCUGGUCUGUGAGGCCGACCAGGCACACUGGGAGUGAGACACGGACCAGACUCCUGCGGGGGGGAGCAGUGGGAAAUUUGGGACAAUGGGCGCAAGCCUUAUCCAGCCAAGCCGCGUGCGGGAAGAAGGCCUUCGGGUUGUAAACCGCUUUUGUCAGGUAAGAAACGCUUCGAGCUAAUACCUCGGAGUAAUGACGGUACCUGAAGAAUAAGCACCGGCUAACUACGUGCCAGCAGCCGCGGUAA
Molecule: ribosomal RNA, 498 nt
Filed under: uncultured bacterium
Lineage: Bacteria
Description: partial 16S ribosomal RNA
Rfam family: Bacterial small subunit ribosomal RNA
Source: RNAcentral